Catharus ustulatus (Swainson's thrush) is the source of this 513-nucleotide long non-coding RNA. RefSeq lists it as uncharacterized. The transcript has 2 exons. The record is from RefSeq and is a predicted model, not a curated record. Lineage: Eukaryota; Metazoa; Chordata; Aves; Passeriformes; Turdidae.
CCGCGCGCCCGCACGCGGCGCGGCCGCGGCCGCUUCCGCGGUCAGACCCACGAGCCCGAGGCGGAGGCGGCGGUUGGUGCUUCCGAGUAAAAGAAGUUUAAUCUAAAGAUGUUUAUAAAAGGUGUUUAUUAUAAAAUAAGUAGAUGAGAGCUGAUAACUGCCGUGAAGGACGAUGGAUUCUGUGCAGCAUGGAGGAAGUAUCCGGUAGAAGUUACGAGGCAAAUACACACCACGCAAAUGGCAAGUGAAUGUGAAGCUAGAACUCGUGAGCUCUGAGCAGUGAUGUGAACGUAACAGAUAAAUAAACCUUCCGUUUGCUAUUUCAAACUUUUUUUUUUGUAAAUUCAAAAGCAAUACAAAGACAUGUAAGUCAACUGAGAAAUAACUGGAAAAAAAUCUCAGAUGAAUCUUCUGCCCCAUAAAUAGCUCAGUACUUUCCAAGUCACAUGUUGUUUCCUCCGAACUGAACAAUACAAAGACUGCCUCUCAAAAUAAAGAAUCUUUACCAGUUCA